RNAcentral lists this long non-coding RNA (4760 nucleotides) under Vitis vinifera (wine grape). RNAcentral describes it as "long non-coding RNA (VVIN_LNC000645)". Lineage: Eukaryota; Viridiplantae; Streptophyta; Magnoliopsida; Vitales; Vitaceae. The record is from RNAcentral.
UUUCUUUGGACUGAUCAUGCUGUCCUAGUCUCAAGUUGGAGGGCGAAUAGUUCAAGCAAGAAUUUUCAGAAAGAAGGGAGAUUUGCAGCUAGAACUCUAGAAAGGUGGUGUUGUGCUGAUUGGAAGGCAAUGCAAGUAGGCUAUUAUAUAUUACCGAGCCCCAACUCAGUCCUUGAAGCAAUAAACUGAUGUUAGGCUUGGUUGGGUGCAAAGCCAUGUGCUGCAUGGACAAGGAGGGGCCUUCAAGAAGUGGCUGAUAAGGUGCUGCAUGAAGAGUCAAGGUGGAGCAUUGAGCAAAGCCACACAGCAUAUCUGGUCCUAUCUACCAAGUGGUUUAGCGACAAUAGAUCCAAUCUGUUUAGCUGGAAAUCGACAACAGAUAGUCUGAACAAAGACAAAAAUAAACAAAUCAUGGAGGGAACAAUAUGUUAACAGAUCCUUUCCUUUCUUAUAUCAAUUGGGUACAUAUGGAAUUUAAGAGGGUCAGGGUUUUAGAACCUGAAAAGCCACAUAAUGCACAAGCCAUUCAGUGCCUACACACAUUGUCUGAAGUUUCCCCUGUGUUGGGCUGGAUAUGAUAUGGAGAUUAAACCUAACUGAAAGAAAAAAGGAAGUUCCACAAAUUUACAAUCUAUUCUUCAAGGUAGAGAAAGACAUAGAUCCAAACAAGGAACAUGGCUGGCAUAUGGUGGGAAGAAACCAAGUGGGAUUUACAAAGCAUGGAAGCUUUUGAGAGCUGAGCAUGUUUUCUUGCUGUUCAUAGACCACUAAUUUAAUUCAUACAUUACACCACAAAUAUUACUUUUCCCCCUGUUUUCUCAGCAGCCAAACACAACUAUAAGAGUAAAAGAAACGAAACAAAAAAAUAAAUAAAAAUGAAAAAAAAAGUCAUCUGUUUGUAAGUGGGGUUUGUGAGUCAAGCCAAGAGCUAUGGAUCCUGUUGUUAAUUGUUCACAAAUUGGUUUCUUAUGAGACAAAUCCAUGGAGACCCUAGAAAACCCAACUUACAAAGAAGUUAGUCUGUUUUCAUAUUUCUGUUUCUUUUAUUCAUCACUGUGUUUGGCUUCUGGGAAAACAGGGGAAAGUAGUACAUGGCCUGUAGUACUCUAUAUGAAUUUGUGCCUCAUUUGGAUAGCAUACACUCGUAAAACAAACUCUCUUCUGCCUAGAAGUUGAGUAAUUGUAAAAUCAGAUUUUAGAACAAGAAGCAAAUGAGGUUUGGUGAUUUGGCCUCAAUAAGGCCUUCUUUGAUAGCUCAUUCACACUGAGCUGCUUUUUAAUGUUUAACAGAUUUUGUCCACCACUCUCUUGGAGGCAAUAAGCAUUAUACUCUCGAGGGAAGACAAAAAAACAUGAAGAAGAUAGCUUAGAAAUUCUCAUUUUAUAAAUAUUGUCAAACAAGACUUGUGUGGAUCAUUUACAAACAAACAAAAAAGAAGGAUGAUUUCUUUAGAAGGCACAUAGUAGUAAUUGCUCAUUGCUCUGUCCUUGAUGGAAGUAUGCAGAGGAUGAGCAGUUACUUGAACCUAUAGACAUGAUCAAAGCUCUCUCCAAAUCUUUUGCUACACCACGUUGGAUGAAUGAGAUUGCAUAGUCCAUAAAGACUGAAUCACAUGGCAAUAUGAUGGGGCCUUCACUUUGUACCCCAAACUCCUCCUCAGACAUUUGCAAAAGCUGUCUGAAGAUUUCAUUGUUGAGAUACACCAAAGGAAUCACAAAGCGUCUCCUAUCAGCACUGUAAACAACAAAAUGGCCCUUAUCUGCCACUGAUGAUGUACUACAACAGUCAGCAUCCAAAACCAUAUCUGUUCUUGGUAGAGAAAUUCUCUUCCUCUUCAUGGCAGCUAUCUUCUGCCACUUCCUUGCCAUCUUGAUGAGUUUCUUGGGAUUGAUCAUGGUUAUUCACUGAGUAACAAGAGAAAACUUUGAACAAGUGAAGAAAGGGGACUUCAAUCUUUGGAAUCUCGAAUGGUAUUGCUGUGUUGUUUGGGAUGCAGAAUGGAAGAAGGUUAGUUAUAUAGUAAUGAGGACUCAGACAGUAGAUAGUUGUAUUUUUCAUUUUGUGGGGAUCCAAUGAAUGCAAAGCCAUGUGCUGGUUGGACCACAAGGCCAUUAAGAGGUAGGCAAGUUUGGUUGUAUUCUGUGAUCAAUGAAUUCAGAAGUUCAUGACAGCAGAUACUUCUCCUUUCAUUUUGCCAAGUUAUCUGCAGACAUAGCAGAAGAUACGUAUUUUUACAUUUUGCUAAGUGAUCUGCAGACACAGUGGUGCCAUUGAGUUUAGGUGUCUGCUCAUUCUAACCACAGAAGUCCAUGUAUUGGCAAAGGCUCAAGAAAACUAUCACAGAUCAAUCUAACAAUCAUAUUAUUUGGGAAAGGUAAGACGAAGCCCUCAAACAUUUAUGACAAAAUGAGUGGUAUUCAUUUAAAAGUUGUCCUUCCAAGCUGAUUGGGGACCACAGUCUGCUUGCCAUUAGAAGCCAUUUCUCUCACCUUCUACAUCAAACGGAUUUUUAUAAUUGCAAUAACAUUUCUGGAGGUCAGUGAAAGUUGGUGAAUACUGCUAUAAUUCAACCCUGGAGCAAAUCUAAUCACAAUAGCAUUGAAAAGAAAAGCAGGGUUUUCCAAGCUAUGUAGGGGUUAUGAGGCUUAACAUGGUUCUAUUGAACUUUGUGGCGAAGGCUGAGCCAGUGUGAAUGAGUUAUUGCUUUAAAAUCCUAUUCUAAAUUGUUCUACAAUCCAUGUUUAUUCAGAUUUCAAUUUUUAAUUGCUAUUGAGUACUCACCAAAACAUUUUUAUGGAGACAACAAAGUUUGAAGAUUUCAGAAGGUCUUGCUUAAUCUGUUUGGCACUGUCACAAAGUUUGAAGAAAACAAAAUGGCCUUUAUUAGCCACUGAUGUACUACGAGUGCCUGCAUCCAUAUCAGUAUUUGUUCUUGGUGAAGAAAUUCUGUUCCUCCCAAGGGCUGCCCUUCUCUGACACUUCCUUUUCAUUUUGAUGAGCUUCUUGGGGCUUAUCAUGCUGUCCUACUCUCUAAAUUAUUGAUGGAUGGGCAUAUUUUGAAAAACACAUGCAUCAUGACCCUGUUUUUUCUCGUUUCAAAUAAGCACAUCAAGGUGCAUACCAAGGAUGAGAUCUCAUCCUACCUCCUUAUAUGGUUUAAGGACACAUCAUAUUCAAUUUAGCUGGAACCAACCUUUUGAAGUCAAUUUUAUAUUUUCAAUAUCAACUUCUUGAUUUCUUUUAACUACAACAACUCAUUGAUGUGGACAAGAAUAGCAUUUCAGAAGCAUCAGUCCUGUUUUUGGGAGAGUUCAUUGCAAUAUAUCUGGUAAUAUUAGACAAGAAUUUACAAUUUUCCCUCAAUAAGAUUCUUCCAUGAAAGCUUAUUUCCAUAACAUAUUCGUAUUGCCAGCAAUUGUUCUAUUUCACUUUCAACACAUUCUUGCUGAUGAGCAGCAGCUUCUCUCUUGUAAUUAAUUGACAGAAAACUGUAAUGAAUUCAUAGCAAUUUUGCAUAAAAAUAUCCUGAAUUAAUCUUACUUUUUCCUCAUAUUUUAGAUGAUGAAUUAUAUCACCAAGAGAAAAAUCAAGUAAAGGCUAUGUCCUAGGAAUAACUGGUUAGAUGGCUGCAACAAUUAUUUUUUUCAUUUUGAGGCAAUACGCAAUAAUUUAAGAGGGAGACAAGAAACACAUGAAGAAAAUGCCUUUGAAUUCUCACUAUAUAUAUUAUCAAACUAAACUUGUGUGGAUCAUUUACAAAAUUUCAGUAUGACCUCUUCAGAAGGCACAUAAUAGUAAUGGUUCAUUGUUCUGUUCUUGAUGGAAGUAUGAAGAAGAUGAGCGGUUACUUGAAGCUAUAGACAUGAUCAAAGCUCUCUCUAAAUCUUUUGCAACUCCUUGUUGGAUGAAUGAAAUCACAUAAUCCAUAAAGACUGAAUCACAUGGCAAUAUGAUGGGGCCUGCACUUUGUAUCCCAAACUCCUCUUCAGACAUUUGGAAAAGCUCUCUGAAGACUUCACUGCCAAGAUAUGCCAAGGGAAUCACAAAGCGUUUUCUGUCAGAGGUGUAAACAACAAAAUGGCCCUUAUCAGCCACUGUUGACGUGCUGCAGCUGUCUGCAUCCACUUCCCUGUUGAUUCUUUGUAACAAAAUCCUCUUCCUUCCAAGGGCCGCUACCUUCUGCCACUUCCUUGCCAUUCUGAUGAGUUUCUUUGGGCUGAUCAUGCUGUCCUAGUCUCAAGUUGGAGGGAGAAUAAUUGAAGCAAGAAUUUUCAGAAAGAAGGGAGAUUUGCAGCUAGAACUCUAGAAAGGUGGUGUUGUGCUGAUUGGAAGUCAAUGCAAGUUGGCUAUUAUAUAUUACUGAGCCCCAAUUCAGUCCCUGAAACUGUAAACUGAUGUUAGGUUUGGUUGGGUGCAAAGCCAUGUGCUGCAUGGACAAGGAGGGGCCUUCAAGAAGUGGCUGAGAAGGUGCUGCAUGAAGAGUCAAGGUGGAGCAAUGAGCAAAGCCACUCAGUAUAUUUGGUCCUAUCUGCCAAGUGGUUUAGUGACAACAAAUCCAAUCCCUUUAGCUGGAAACCGACAACAGAUAGUCUGAACAAAGACGGAAAAAUAAACAAAUCAUGGAGGGAACAAUAUAUUAACUGAUCCUUUGCUUUCUUAUAUCAAUUGGGUACAUAUGGAAUUUAGGAGGGUCAGGGUUUUAGAACCUGAAAAGCCACAUAAUGUACAAGCCACUCAAUGCCUAUACACAGUGACUGAA